RNAcentral lists this ribosomal RNA (444 nucleotides) under uncultured bacterium. RNAcentral describes it as "partial 16S ribosomal RNA". It matches the Rfam family "Bacterial small subunit ribosomal RNA", at positions 339 to 795 of the family's 1533-position model. The record is from RNAcentral.
CUACGGGUUGCACCAGUGGGGAAUAUUGCACAAUGGGCGAAAGCCUGAUGCAGCAACGCCGCGUGAGGGACGACGGCCUUCGGGUUGUAAACCUCUUUUAGCAGGGAAGAAGCGAAAGUGACGGUACCUGCAGAAAAAGCACCGGCUAACUACGUGCCAGCAGCCGCGGUAAUACGUAGGGUGCAAGCGUUGUCCGGAAUUAUUGGGCGUAAAGAGCUCGUAGGCGGUUUGUCGCGUCUGCUGUGAAAAUCCGAGGCUCAACCUCGGACCUGCAGUGGGUACGGGCAAACUAGAGUGCGGUAGGGGAGAUUGGAAUUCCUGGUGUAGCGGUGGCAUGCGCAGAUAUCAGGAGGAACACCAAUGGCGAAGGCAGAUCUCUGGGCCGUAACUGACGCUGAGGAGCGAAAGCGUGGGGAGCGAACAGGAUUAGAUACCCCGGUAGUC